This 106-nucleotide small nucleolar RNA is filed under the name Capsicum annuum. RNAcentral's name for it is "Plant small nucleolar RNA R71". It matches the Rfam family "Plant small nucleolar RNA R71". From Rfam's summary of the family: R71 is a member of the C/D box family of snoRNAs containing the C (UGAUGA) and D (CUGA) box motifs. Multiple nearly identical copies of this snoRNA have been identified in Arabidopsis, and it is thought to function as a 2'-O-ribose methylation guide for 18S ribosomal RNA. Lineage: Eukaryota; Viridiplantae; Streptophyta; Magnoliopsida; Solanales; Solanaceae. The record is from Rfam by way of RNAcentral.
ACCUCGUGGUUGGGACAUUGCAUGAGCUUCCCAUUAAAUCUCUCCCAUACCUCAUAUAGAGUUUAUUCAUCCAAUUGAUGAAAAUUGGUGAUUUUAUAAAAAAAUU